GUGCUCACUUCAGCAGCAUAUAUACUACAAUGGCAAUAAUACAGACAAGAUUAGUAUGGCCCCUGCACAUGGACGGCACACACAUUCUUGAAGCAUUCCAUACUUAA
Myodes glareolus (Bank vole) is the source of this 107-nucleotide non-coding RNA. NCBI's taxonomy places the organism in Eukaryota, Metazoa, Chordata, Mammalia, Rodentia, Cricetidae. The record is from RefSeq and is a predicted model, not a curated record.